RNAcentral lists this ribosomal RNA (492 nucleotides) under uncultured bacterium. Its description in RNAcentral is "partial 16S ribosomal RNA". It matches the Rfam family "Bacterial small subunit ribosomal RNA", at positions 29 to 507 of the family's 1533-position model. The record is from RNAcentral.
AGUGAACGCUGGCGGUAGGCCUAACACAUGCAAGUCGAACGGCAGCACAGUAAGAGCUUGCUCUUACGGGUGGCGAGUGGCGGACGGGUGAGGAAUACAUCGGAAUCUACUUUUUCGCGGGGGAUAACGUAGGGAAACUUACGCUAAUACCGCAUACGACCUACGGGUGAAAGCAGGGGAUCUUCGGACCUUGCGCGAUUGAAUGAGCCGAUGUCGGAUUAGCUAGUUGGCGGGGUAAAGGCCCACCAAGGCGACGAUCCGUAGCUGGUCUGAGAGGAUGAUCAGCCACACUGGAACUGAGACACGGUCCAGACUCCUACGGGAGACAGCAGUGGGGAAUAUUGGACAAAGGGCGCAAGCCUGAUCCAGCCAUACCGCGUGGGUGAAGAAGGCCUUCGGGUUGUAAAGCCCUUUUGUUGGGAAAGAAAAGCAGCAGGUUAAUACCCCGCUGUUCUGACGGUACCCAAAGAAUAAGCACCGGCUAACUUCGUG